Molecule: non-coding RNA, 712 nt
Filed under: Potamotrygonocestus sp. MZUSP 7996
Lineage: Eukaryota; Metazoa; Platyhelminthes; Cestoda; Tetraphyllidea; Onchobothriidae
Source: RNAcentral
UUUUGUUUAACUAUGGCAAUAAGAAGUAAUGACAUUAAAUCUGCAUAAAAAUUUUAUUUUUUAUGUUAUCAAAGUACUUGUUGAUAAUUAUUAGCAGUUAGUUUUUUAUUUAGGUUUAAGCCUUUUAAGAUGGUGUCAAUAAAGGGGAUAGGACACAGUGCCAGCAUCCGCGGUUAAUCUGUUUUCUUUGCUUUUUUCUAGCAUUUAUAAACUAAUGUAUAUCUGAGGUUAGGUGAAAUUUUCUCAAUUUUAUAUUUUUUGAGUUUUUAUUUUUGAGUAGUUUUAAUGACAGGGAUUAGAUACCCCAUUAAUCAGCUAUUAUAAUAAUUGUUUAGUUUUAUAACUAAAAUAGUUUGGCAGCGAGUUAAUCCUAUUGGGGGAAUGUGUGUUUUAAAGGACGAUCCGCCUAUAUAUUUUACUUUAGCUAUGUUGGUGUAUAUCUGGUUAGAUAUUAUUGCUUAAUAGCUGAAUUUGUGUAAUAUUUAAUUAAGCCAAGUCUAUGUGCUGCAUGCUAAAGGAUUUCAUGCGUUACAUUUAUAAAAUAUAUUCUUGAAAAAGUUUUUAUAUUUAGGACUCAAAAGUAAUAGUAAAUAAAUAUGUUGCUGUGAAGAAGGUUUAACUUGGGUACACACCGCCCGUCACCCUCGAUAGUUGUUGAGGUAAGUCGUAACAUGGUAACCUUAAAUGAAUUUGUGGUUAAUUAUUAUUUUAG